AGCCAUCUUAUUUUCAGCUGCUGAGUCAACACAUUUCCUUUUUGACUGAGCCAGUUUGGGUUGGGUUUUUCUAUAACUGCAACUAAAUAAUCCCACUGACAUCCAUCAGAGCCUCUCUUCCCAAACAGGAGCUCCGCACUCUGAUUCCAUAAAAAAGAUAACUGGUUUUUCUAGAGACCUCAUCUGUGAAUGAAUCAGGCCACAUUCAAGAGGGUGUUUGGACUCUGCAGAGGGAGCUGCACCCUCUGCGCCUCCAGCACCCAGUGCUGGGAGAUAGACCCUCGGUGAUUUAGUGAGUCAGUGAAGUGGAGUGACUUUCGCAGUCCCCCAGGCUGGCUCGCACGGAGCGUGGUGGCCUUCGGUCCCCCUCUUGUCUCACCCUCAGAGUCUCCCUCACCAGCAGUCUGCAUGCAGGGACCAGAGGCAGAGCAGUUACUGCCAGGAAAGGUGGGCCAUGUAACAAGUUCUGCCUAUGAAAUAGAAAUGGAAGUGUGAUGGUUGUUUCUGGGCUGAGUUACAGAAGACUGUGUGACACCUAUAUCCUUUCUCUUCCAUUCUGCUAUUUUCUCGUUAAAGUUCAGCCAGCUGUAU
This is a long non-coding RNA of Manis pentadactyla (Chinese pangolin), 591 nucleotides long. RefSeq lists it as uncharacterized. The record is from RefSeq and is a predicted model, not a curated record. The transcript has 3 exons. NCBI's taxonomy places the organism in Eukaryota, Metazoa, Chordata, Mammalia, Pholidota, Manidae.